RNAcentral lists this non-coding RNA (24 nucleotides) under Arabidopsis thaliana (thale cress). Lineage: Eukaryota; Viridiplantae; Streptophyta; Magnoliopsida; Brassicales; Brassicaceae. The record is from RNAcentral.
AGGAGUUCCUCGAGGAGAUAAACA